ACCUCACAUCCUCUGCCACACCACAGUGGAGAAACCAGAACUGGAGGAGCAGCCAGAAUGCAGAGAAGAAAAAAGAGUUCUCUGCAUGUUUGGAAGUCGGAAUUGGUUGAAGUUGAAGAUGAUGUGUAUCUGAGGCACAGCUCUUCCCUGACUUAUAGGCUUUGACACUGCUGUUGAGGUUUGACUCGAAGCCCAGAGUUUUGGUGUGGAUGAGCAGGGACAAA
This 224-nucleotide long non-coding RNA is filed under the name Homo sapiens (human). RNAcentral's name for it is "HSALNT0095716". The record is from RNAcentral. Lineage: Eukaryota; Metazoa; Chordata; Mammalia; Primates; Hominidae.